Molecule: unclassified non-coding RNA, 275 nt
Filed under: fungal sp.
Lineage: Eukaryota; Fungi
Description: partial internal transcribed spacer region
Rfam family: Eukaryotic small subunit ribosomal RNA (bases 1-46)
Source: RNAcentral
AAGUCGUAACAAGGUUUCCGUAGGUGAACCUGCGGAAGGAUCAUUAACGCAUUCUUUUUGCUUAAUUGCAUCUAACCUUUUCUAUCAACCCCUUUAGCGAACUGAAAAAGGAGAGGUUAAGAAACUCUUUCGGGAGGAUUUUAACUGAUCUUUUUUCUUUAUACCCCCUUUUUUUUUUAACUAUAAACCCCUUUACUUUAUAUUUUUAGUCUGAUCUAAACCUAGAUUUUUAUCUAACGCUGAAACAACUCUUAGCAACGGAUAUCUAGGCUCUC